This 463-nucleotide ribosomal RNA is filed under the name uncultured bacterium. Its description in RNAcentral is "SSU rRNA". It matches the Rfam family "Bacterial small subunit ribosomal RNA", at positions 26 to 518 of the family's 1533-position model. The record is from RNAcentral.
AGGACUAACGCUGGCGGCGUGCCUAACACAUGCAAGUCGAACGAGGUAGCAAUACCUAGUGGCAGACGGGUGAGUAACGCGUGGUCAACCUACCUCUUAGUGGGGGAUAACUAGCCGAAAGGUUAGCUAAUACCGCAUACGAUCGUCGCGAGGCAUCUCGUGACGAUGAAAGGAGCAAUUCGCUAAGAGAGGGGACUGCGUCCCAUUAGUUAGUUGGUGGGGUAAUGGCCCACCAAGACUCCGAUGGGUAGCUGGCUUGAGAGAGCGACCAGCCACACUGGAACUGAGACACGGUCCAGACUCCUACGGGAGGCAGCAGUGAGGAAUUUUCCGCAAUGGGCGCAAGCCUGACGGAGCGACGCCGCGUGUGGGAAGAAGGCCUUCGGGUCGUAAACCACUGUCGAAGGGGACGAUAUUGACGGUACCUUGGAGGAAGCCCGGCUAACUACGCGCCAGCAGCCGC